RNAcentral lists this ribosomal RNA (253 nucleotides) under uncultured bacterium. RNAcentral's name for it is "partial 16S ribosomal RNA". It matches the Rfam family "Bacterial small subunit ribosomal RNA", at positions 524 to 776 of the family's 1533-position model. The record is from RNAcentral.
GACAGAGGGUGCUAGCGUUGUUCGGAAUUACUGGGCGUAAAGGGCGCGUAGGCGGUCUGUUAAGUUCGGUGUGAAAUCCCCUGGCUCAACUGGGGAACUGCGCUGGAAACUGGCAGACUCGAGUACCGGAGAGGAGAGUGGAAUUCCUGGUGUAGCGGUGAAAUGCGUAGAUAUCAGGAGGAACACCGGUGGCGAAGGCGGCUCUCUGGACGGAUACUGACGCUGAGGCGCGAAAGCGUGGGGAGCGAACCGG